RNAcentral lists this ribosomal RNA (841 nucleotides) under human gut metagenome. Its description in RNAcentral is "bacterial SSU rRNA". It matches the Rfam family "Bacterial small subunit ribosomal RNA", at positions 34 to 910 of the family's 1533-position model. The record is from RNAcentral.
CGCUGGCGGCAGGCUUAACACAUGCAAGUUGAACGGGAUUUGUAUGGUGCUUGCACCAUGUAAUGAGAGUAGCGCACUGGUGAGUAACACGUGGGAACAUACCUUGAAGUGGGGGACAACAGUUGGAAACGACUGCUAAUACCGCAUAAUCCCUGAGGGGGAAAGAUUUAUCGCUUUAAGAUUGGCCCGCGGAAGAUUAGGUAGUUGGUGGGGUAAAGGCCUACCAAGCCGACGAUCUAUAGCUGGUCUGAGAGGACGAACAGCCACAUUGGAACUGAGACACGGUCCAGACUCCUACGGGAGGCAGCAGUGAGGAAUAUUGGGCAAUGGAGGAAACUCUGACCCAGCCAUGCCGCGUGAGUGAAGAAGGUUUUCGAAUUGUAAAGCUCUUUCGGAUGGGACGAUGAUGACGGUACCAUCUAAAGAAGCCCCGGCAAACUUCGUGCCAGCAGCCGCGGUAAUACGAAGGGGGCAAGCGUUGUUCGGAAUUACUGGGCGUAAAGGGUGUGUAGGCGGAUUUGUAAGAUAGUGGUGAAAUACCUGAGCUCAACUUAGGAAUUGCCAUUAUAACUAUAGAUCUGGAGUGACAGAGAGGAUAUUGGAAUACCCAGUGUAGAGGUGAAAUUCGUAGAUAUUGGGUAGAACACCAGUGGCGAAGGCGAGUAUCUGGCUGUCAACUGACGCUGAGGCACGAAAGCAUGGGGAUCAAACAGGAUUAGAUACCCUGGUAGUCCAUGCUGUAAACGAUGAAUGCUAGUUGUCGGCAAAAGCCGGUGACGCAGUUAACGCGAUAAGCAUUCCGCCUGGGGAGUACGGUCGCAAGAUUAAAACUCAAAGGAAU